GAUGAAGAACGUAGCGAAAUGCGAUGAGUAAUGUGAAUUGCAGAAUUCAGUGAAUCAUCGAAUCUUUGAACGCACAUUGCGCCCAUUAGUAUUCUAGUGGGCAUGCCUGUUCGAGCGUCAUUAAGUCCACUUAAGCCCUGCUUAGUGUUGGGAGACUGCUCCAGCGGUGCUACCCUGUAGCUACCCUGCAGCUCCUCAAAGACAGCGGCGGAGUUGUGGUAUCCUCUGAGCUUAGUAACUUGUUCUAGCUUUCGAGUACACCACUUCCCCUGCCGUAAAACCCUUAAUUUUUAAUGGUUGACCUCGGAUCAGGUAGGAAUACCCGCUGAACUUAAGCAUAUCAAUAAGCGGAGGA
This 355-nucleotide unclassified non-coding RNA is filed under the name soil metagenome. RNAcentral's name for it is "partial contains 5.8S ribosomal RNA, internal transcribed spacer 2, and large subunit ribosomal RNA". The stretch from base 1 to 120 matches the Rfam family "5.8S ribosomal RNA", at positions 35 to 154 of the family's 154-position model. The record is from RNAcentral.